Molecule: ribosomal RNA, 20 nt
Filed under: uncultured Tomentella
Lineage: Eukaryota; Fungi; Basidiomycota; Agaricomycetes; Thelephorales; Thelephoraceae
Description: partial 18S ribosomal RNA
Source: RNAcentral
CUGCGGAGGAUCAUUACAGA